Molecule: ribosomal RNA, 523 nt
Filed under: Klebsiella pneumoniae
Lineage: Bacteria; Pseudomonadati; Pseudomonadota; Gammaproteobacteria; Enterobacterales; Enterobacteriaceae
Description: bacterial SSU rRNA
Rfam family: Bacterial small subunit ribosomal RNA
Source: RNAcentral
UAGCACAGAGAGCUUGCUCUCGGGUGACGAGCGGCGGACGGGUGAGUAAUGUCUGGGAAACUGCCUGAUGGAGGGGGAUAACUACUGGAAACGGUAGCUAAUACCGCAUAAUGUCGCAAGACCAAAGUGGGGGACCUUCGGGCCUCAUGCCAUCAGAUGUGCCCAGAUGGGAUUAGCUAGUAGGUGGGGUAACGGCUCACCUAGGCGACGAUCCCUAGCUGGUCUGAGAGGAUGACCAGCCACACUGGAACUGAGACACGGUCCAGACUCCUACGGGAGGCAGCAGUGGGGAAUAUUGCACAAUGGGCGCAAGCCUGAUGCAGCCAUGCCGCGUGUGUGAAGAAGGCCUUCGGGUUGUAAAGCACUUUCAGCGGGGAGGAAGGCGGUGAGGUUAAUAACCUUGUCGAUUGACGUUACCCGCAGAAGAAGCACCGGCUAACUCCGUGCCAGCAGCCGCGGUAAUACGGAGGGUGCAAGCGUUAAUCGGAAUUACUGGGCGUAAAGCGCACGCAGGCGGUCUGUC